UACAGAGGUGGCAAGCGUUGUUCGGAAUUACUGGGCGUAAAGGGCGCGUAGGCGGCCAUCUAAGUCAGACGUGAAAUCCCCCGGCUCAACCUGGGAACUGCGUCUGAUACUGGGAGGCUAGGUAGGUUGGGAGAGGGAUGGUAGAAUUCCAGGUGUAGCGGUGAAAUGCGUAGAUAUCUGGAGGAACACCAAUGGCGAAGGCAGCUCACUGGGACGGUAUUGACGCUGAGACGCGAAAGCGUGGGGAGCAAACAGGG
RNAcentral lists this ribosomal RNA (257 nucleotides) under uncultured bacterium. RNAcentral describes it as "partial 16S ribosomal RNA". It matches the Rfam family "Bacterial small subunit ribosomal RNA", at positions 524 to 777 of the family's 1533-position model. The record is from RNAcentral.